This 484-nucleotide ribosomal RNA is filed under the name uncultured bacterium. RNAcentral's name for it is "partial 16S ribosomal RNA". It matches the Rfam family "Bacterial small subunit ribosomal RNA", at positions 30 to 507 of the family's 1533-position model. The record is from RNAcentral.
AUUGAACGCUGGCGGCAGGCCUAACACAUGCAAGUCGAGCGGAUGAAGGGAGCUUGCUCCUGGAUCCAGCGGCGGACGGGUGAGUAAUGCCUAGGAAUCUGCCUGGCAGUGGGGGAUAACGUCCGGAAACGGGCGCUAAUACCGCAUACGUCCUGCGGGAGAAGGUGGGGGAUCUUCGGACCUCACGCUAUCAGAUGAGCCUAGGUCGGAUUAGCUAGUUGGUGGGGUAAAGGCCUACCAAGGCGACGAUCCGUAACUGGCCUGAGAGGAGGGUUAGUCACACUGGAACUGGGACACGCUCCAGACUCCUACGGGAGGCAGCAGUGGGGAAUGUUAGGCAGUGGGCGGAAGCCUGGUCCAGCCAUGCCACGUGUGUGAAGAAGGUCUUCGGAUUGUAAAGCACGUUAAGUUGGGGGGAAGGGCAGUAAGUUAAUACCUUGCUGUUUUGACGUUACCAACAGAAUAAGCACCGGCUAACUUCGUG